UAAUUUGUUAUACAUGAUGGCAGAAUGCAAUUCAUUUCAAAUUACACAUAUAGAGCACAAUUUCUCAAGCCACUGGUUGUACACAAAGUAUUUUCACACCAUUUGUUUCUUCAUACAUGUACUUAGGGUAAUGAUGUCUAACUCAUUCCUCCAUCUUUCCUACUCCCUUGCCCCCUCCCUUCCCCUCUCUCCCCUUUGUCCUAUCCUAAGUUCAUCUAUUCCUCCCACGCUCCCCAACCCCAUCACCAUUAUAAGUCAGCAUUCUCAUAUCAAAGAAAACAUUCAGCCUUUGUUUUGGGGGGGAUUGGCUUACUUCAUUUAGCAUAAUAUUCUCUAACUCCAUCCAUUUACCUGCAAAUGCCAUGAUUUUAUUCUCUUUUAAUGGUGAGUAGUAUUCCUUUGUGUAUAUAUAUAAAAGUUUCUCUAUCCAUUCAUCUACUGAAGGGCAUCUGGGUUGGUUCCACAAUUUAGCUAUUGUGAAUUGUGGUGCUAUAAAUAUUGAUGUGGCUGUGUCCCUGUAGUAUGCUGUUUUUAAGUCCUUUGGGUAUAGACCAAGGAGAGGGAUAGCUGGGUCAAAUGGUGGUUCCAUUUCAAGUUUUCCAAGGAAUUGUCAUACUGCUUUCCAUAUAGGCUGCACCAAUUUCAGUCCCACCAGCAAUGUAUGAGUGUGCCUUUUCCCGCACAUCCUUGCCAACACUUAUUGUUAUUUGUAUUCUUGGUAGCUGCCAUUCUGACUGGAGUGAGAUGAAAUCUCAGAGUUGUUUUUAUUUGCGUUUCUCUAAUUGCUAGAGAUGUUGAACAUUUUUUCAUACAUUUGUAUUCAAUAUUCUUUUAUACUCUAUUCCCUGUGACGCUCCCUUUCACUUGAUAGAGCUCCUCUGUCCAUUUCAAUUGUUUUCCAAGAUUCCCAUUGGAAACAAACACUUGUAUUUCAGCCUUCUAGGGUAGAGGAAUCUCAUCUCCAAUGCCCCACAGUCACUGGGGCCAGAGAGAAGAGGUAAGUAUAUCUUACUGGCGCCUCCCAUUGAGGCUUCCAAUGGCACCCCCCCAUUGAUAUUUCCAAUGGUACCAUCACUUCUCCACUCUUAUUCAAAACCCUCUUCUCUCUUGACUGACCUCCCCUAAUGUACACAUUCACAUAACUCCUCUCUCCCUCUUGUGAUUCUCAUCCAUAGCCUACAGGACAUUCCCCCUUAUGCUAAGCACUUUACCAUCUUACUUACACACUUUCUUUCCACUCUGACCUCUAGAAGAUGUGUCUGUGCAAACCAUUUAUCUCUCUCAGUUAGAAUUGGUUCGACUAUACAUGAACUAUACAGGUAAGUAGUUUUAAUAAUUUAGAGAUCUCUUAUAUAAACCAGUAUAGAAGCUAAGGAAGAUCAGUGCUAAAAUGGUGACUUCAUGUCAUUAGGAACUCCUGUCUUUCUGCUCCACCAUCCUGGCCUUGGAUUCCAUCCUUAAAAUAGUUCAUGGUCUAAAUUGGCAGAAAGGAGAAGAAAUGGCAGAUGAACACAACUUCCUGGUGAUUUUCACUUCAAAUUUUUUCCUUAACCCCCACCCUCCCCAUCCAAUGACUUUUACUUACACAUUUUUAUUCAUCUCCAACUGCAAAGAAAGCUAAUUAUAUCCUCUUAGCAGGCUCCAUUGCUAUUCUGAAUAAAAGCAGUGUUCUAUCCAUAAUGAGUAAGCAGCUAGCAUUCUUGCCAUGUAGUUUAUGUCCAAUAUCACUGACCUUCAUUUCCUUUCCCCUUCAGCAAUUAUGGCCAUUCUCUGGACUCUCUCACCCAAAGCACUGAAUUCCGGAUCUAUUAAGUUCUAAUAUCCUAUUCUCCAGCCCUCAGCAUCUAGCCUUAUAGGUCCCAUGUUCAUUCCUGCUACGUCUGUCAUAUGGUGCCUCACAUGGAAUCCUUCCAUCCUUCCAUUCCCCAUAAGAUGUAUCCGUUUGGGGAGACACCAAGAUGGAAUUAGAUAAACAAAGGGUUUAUCUAGGGAAAUGCCAGUGAGGAUCAAGGGCAGGGGAGCAGGAAUAAUCAGGAAGAGCUUUGGAGCCUGGUGCAUGCCUGACUUGGGGUGGAAGGAGGAACUAGGUAGGAAGAGCCUGAUUGCAGUUUAGUUCUCAUUUGGGUCACUGGGAAGUCCUAGGCCAAAAUUGCCCAUUAGAGGAGCAUUGUGUUGGGCACAAAUGACCCCCUUCCAAUGAUCCUCUGUGCUCAACUUCCAGUCCCCACUACUAUUAACAUGUUUAUCUACAUCCCUGAUGAUCCACACCCCUCUCCUAAAAUCUCACCAGGGUCUCUUGCCUUCCUUUCUGUAUCCUUGAUAUGUGUCUCCUCAAGAUGCUCGCUUCAGUAAUUAGCCCAAUUGCUCUUACUUCUUCAGCUCUCUCAGGGAGAGGUCCCAGCAAGAGCUGAAACAGCACAGUGGGAUCUGGGGAAACAGUCCCAGGUUUUAGAUGGCUGGUACAUAAUAAAUUCUCAGUAAAUAUGUAGUAAAGGAAUAUAUGCAUAUUUUCUCUUUUCCAGCUGAUGGUAAGCUUUCUGAGGGUGGGGACUAUGUCGUAUUUAUCUCCAUAACCUACCUAAUAACCCACAGCCAUAAAUACAAAGUUGUCAAGCUAGUAAAGUUAAUCUACUAAUUUUGUGCUAUAUUAGAAACAAAUUAUUUCUCUAAAUUCUUCAUUUAAUGCCUAAUAUGAAACCUGUCAUACAAUAGGUGUUUAAUAAGUAAAUGUUUGUUUUAAUUAAAGAGAAAUUAAAAAUAAACUUUCACUCCCUGAAUGUCACGUGCAUAUUAAAGGCAUUGAACUAAGGGAAAUAAGAAGGAGCUUAUGAUUUAUCUACCUAAAUCAUUUCACUGCCUGUGGCAUAUCUACUUUUGGAUACUUCAUGGGCUUGAACAGAGCAAUCUUAUCUAUCCCACGAGUACAUUAUGCCAUGCUUGGGAUCAAUUGUAACCAUCAGUAUAUUAUAGAAGUGCAUGUUGUUUGAUCAUAAAUGCUUAUCUCUUUGGCUGGUGAUUUUAAGGGCUCUGGGUGUCAACUAGAAGAAGCUGCAGGAAGUGGUACAGAUCCAGAGUAUGGACAGACUUAGAUUUCUGCUGAAAACAGAAACUCAAAGCAUUAUCUUAAAAACAACCAAGAAGCCUCGAACUCUGGUGCACACCUGCAAUCCCAGGGGGUCAGGAGGCUGAGGCAGGAAGAUUGAGAGUUCAAAGCCAGCCUCAGCAAUUUAGUGAGGCCCUAAGCAACUCAGCAAGACCCUGUCUCUAAAUAAAAUACAAAAAGGACUGGGGAUGUGGCUCAGUGAUUGAGUGUCCCUGGGUUCAAUCCCUAGUACCAAAAACAACAACAACAACAACAAGAAAAAAAAAACAACAAAAACAACCAAUAAGACCUAAAGGGUGAAUACUAAACAGAAGCUGUAGUCAGGGAAAUCCUUUUCCUCAAACUAAAAAUAUGGAAUACUUCUUAGAAUAAAACUGUAUAUAUGCAUCCUGUAAAAUGCUGGGGAGUGUAAAACCGGUUUA
This 3525-nucleotide long non-coding RNA is filed under the name Marmota monax (woodchuck). The record is from RNAcentral. Lineage: Eukaryota; Metazoa; Chordata; Mammalia; Rodentia; Sciuridae.